GCCAGUGUGGCAUAGUAGUUUGAGCAUUGGACUAUGACUCUGGAGGCUAGGGUUCAAAUCUCACCUUGGUCA
Molecule: transfer RNA, 72 nt
Filed under: Phrynosoma platyrhinos (Desert horned lizard)
Lineage: Eukaryota; Metazoa; Chordata; Lepidosauria; Squamata; Phrynosomatidae
Description: tRNA-OTHER
Source: RNAcentral